AAGUAAAGGCCUAAUGAAGGCCCAGUAUGAGGCCUGAACCAAACUAAAGUAAUGGUCAAGACUUUGCUAAUAUGAAGCAAAGUUAAGCUGUGAGCAAGAGGCAGGCCCUGCUCACAGAAGUUGGCAAGGAAAGGGCUGAUGUUGCAGAAAUACAUAUUCAUUUAACAUAGUUACAGUAUAAACAUGGUACCAAGACACACUAUACUGGAACAUUCCACAGAUAACAUGGAACAGGCCGACCCAUCCCAAUGACAGGGGCAAAAGGGGAAAAUGAUGGAUAGAGUUGUUUUGAUCGAACCAACAGGUACAAGGUGAGAGGCAGCACCUUAUUACGUAGAGGGGUUGUACCUUGCUAUGUAGAGGGGUUGCACUUCAAUACGUCAGGAGUGAUGUGUAACUUGUUUGUACCUGUGUAUAAGAAUGUGUCCCUGGGGUGGUGUCUUUGUCCGGCCACGGGGGCAGUGGAACGUCCCGCCACUGAGCCGGGUCCUUGCCAAGAGGCAUCUAUUAGUAGUAUGCCCGGUAGACUAAGUAAUCUACGGGGAACUGCAAUUGUGUCCGAGAUCGCAAUAAACCUGGCCGAGGUGCCUUUGUAUCUUAGUAGACUCUGUGGUUAUUGGGGAUUCUCGUCGGGUCUGCUGUGUCAGCUAUCUGCGCAGAGCUGGGGCAGCACACAGAGGGAACACACGCACGCAGCCGAGUGAUAUCAACAGGAGAAAGCAGAAGCACCACACCGGUAGCCUCUCACAACACUGGUGACCCCGACCGCUGAUCUGGUUUCCACCUUUGGCUCCCAAACAUAGCAAAGCAUCAUGAAAGUAUAGCCUCAAAUACCCUCAAAGUACUGUAUUUAAAAUUUAUUUUGGUUUAAUUUUAUAGUUGGUUUAAUUUUUUAUGCUUUUCUUUUGUUAUGUUAUGUUAAUGAGAAGCAGUGGUUGUUAAAGUUGUGCUUCUAAACAGUUAACAAAAGUGAAAUUAGUAUCACAAGCAAAUUAACUCUAAAAAGCUUGGUAAAAAUUCUAACUCCUUUGCUGAAACAAAUUGUUCAGCAAAGGAAAGCAAUACACCUUCUCAUGGAAGAUUGUGAGCAUUUAUUUUAGCCGUUAAGUAUUACAUUUCGUAUAAAAAUAUUAGUAAUGCACUUCAAAUGACAAUGAAUGUCUAUACAACAACAAUUGCAAAAGUAUAGCUUGUGUUACAAAAGGCUUGGUCCCUAUUACAUUGUUCUUAUUACAUUGUAAACAAACUAAGUUAAACUAUGUAUUAAGUUUAAGUUACUGAAAACAAAAACAAAAAAGAAAGAAACAAAAAUCCUUUAUUAUGUUAACUAACUAGCUGUUUAAGUUGCAUCCCACAGACCAAAGACACCAAAAAAUAUCACACCCUGAAGAAACCAGAUAUCAUCAGUAUACAGUGAAGAAACUGCCAAGCAUCAAGAACAGAAAAAUGAAGUGCUUUAUAAAUAAGAGACUGGUCAAAUACACCCCUAUCUACCAUAUAUGGACAAUUAAGUUAACAAUCAGCUAAAAACCACUAGCUGGACCAGGAUAAGCCAUCAUUUAAUUUCAACUUGGUUACUAUGUAAAAACAACUGUAUUAUUGCUGUAUUGCUGUAUUGUUGUCUUAUUGCUGUACUGUAUUAUUGCUGUACAACAUUUACAAUGUGCAUAACCUUGCUAAACUGUUUAACCAACACACAUGUAAAAAUCAACAAACAAAUGGCAGCAAACAACGUGAAGGCAAGAAAAAAACAAAGUGGUAAACAAACAAAAGGUUACACAGUAACUACAAAUUGGGUAAACAAAUUGCCUGUUAGUACCAGUCAUAAUUUGGGUCACUGACACUGCAUCCUAACUGAGGCACAUGUUAUUCAAAACAAUCUUGUUCAGUGUCUGAGUACCAAUACUACAUCCUGACACAGCAAUAUUUGAUCAAUUGGUUACUGUCCAUUCAGUAGGUUAUCUGGAAGACAGCAUCCAUAAGGAACAACUGGAUCUAUGUCAACUACUGGUGUAUCGCAGAGCCAUGCAACCAAUGGAACAGAGAAGCUGGCCACUUCUAUUUCCUGCGCAGUAAAGCUCACCAGAGGGUGACAACUAGCAGUAAGAGUAACCUAUAACAUGAAUGGACAGUACUGGGUAGUAACUAAGUACAAUAUAUUUCUAUAUAAAUGCCUCAGAGGUAGUGUCACUACUCCAAAUUUCUGUUUUUCUUCUCAUAUACAUAGCACUGUAAGACACACCAUCACAAUCCCUAUCCAGUAUUUCAAAACACUCAGCCUACUACUACUGAUGAGACAGGUGAUAACUAGAAUUGCCCUAAUAAGAGUGCGUUUCUAUCUGUGUCACCAAAGUAAAAGGGACAGAGUACAACACCGGACUGGUAAAACAUGGUUAUGCUUAGAUAUAAGGUGGUGUCAUAUGUACACAUACAUACUAUACAUAUAUGCCCAUACACACUCCAAAUAUAUAAGCCAUAUCCAUAUAAUUGAUAUAUAUUAAUUAUUUGGGAGUGCCUCUAAGGCUCAAUCAUAAUACUACAUUCCUCAGUCAUGGUCCCGGGCCUAACAUUCCCAGGCCCACCAUAAGGGACUAAAAAAUAAUUGGAUAAUAAAAUCUGUCUGCCAGUCGUACGAGGGAAUGUGCAGACUAAACAGACGGAUGGAGCAUAAGUGUAUGGAUAGUAAAAUAAAGUAACCACCUAACAGUGUUUAGCCCACUGGGUUAUCUUUAGUCCAUGCAUUAUGCUUUUCCGGGACGAUGAGUAAACGUCCUCCCCUUAAAAAGACAAAAAGUGGGGGAAUGUAGUAAGUGAAGGCAAUGUAGUAAGUAAAGGCCUAAUGAAGGCCCAGUAUGAGGCCUGAACCAAACUAAAGUAAUGGUCAAGACUUUGCUAAUAUGAAGCAAAGUUAAGCUGUGAGCAAGAGGCAGGCCCUGCUCACAGAAGUUGGCAAGGAAAGGGCUGAUGUUGCAGAAAUACAUAUUCAUUUAGCAUAGUUACAGUAUAAACAUGGUACCAAGACACACUAUACUGGAACAUUCCACAGAUAACAUGGAACAGGCCGACCCAUCCCAAUGACAGGGGCAAAAGGGGAAAAUGAUGGAUAGAGUUGUUUUGAUCGAACCAACAGGUACAAGGUGAGAGGCGGCACCUUAUUACGUAGAGGGGUUGUACCUUGCUAUGUAGAGGGGUUGCACCUCAAUACGUCAGGAGUGAUGUGUAACUUGUUUGUACCUGUGUAUAAGAAUGUGUCCCUGGGGUGGUGUCUUUGUCCGGCCACGGGGGCAGUGGAAAGUCCCGCCACUGAGCCGGGUCCUUGCCAAGAGGCAUCUAUUAGUAGUAUGCCCGGUAGACUAAGUAAUCUACGGGGAACUGCAAUUGUGUCCGAGAUCGCAAUAAACCUGGCCGAGGUGCCUUUGUAUCUUA
Malaclemys terrapin pileata is the source of this 3426-nucleotide long non-coding RNA. RefSeq lists it as uncharacterized. The transcript is spliced from 2 exons. The record is from RefSeq and is a predicted model, not a curated record. NCBI's taxonomy places the organism in Eukaryota, Metazoa, Chordata, Testudines, Emydidae.